Molecule: ribosomal RNA, 402 nt
Filed under: bacterium
Lineage: Bacteria
Description: partial 16S ribosomal RNA
Rfam family: Bacterial small subunit ribosomal RNA
Source: RNAcentral
UGGGGAAUUUUGCACAAUGGGGGAAACCCUGAUGCAGCGACGCCGCGUGAUUUAGAAGGCCUUCGGGUUGUAAAAAUCUUUUCUAUGGGAAGAAAAUGACAGUACCAUAGGAAUAUGGACCGGCUAAUUACGUGCCAGCAGCCGCGGUAAUACGUAAGGUCCGAGCGUUUUCCGGAAUCAUUGGGCGUAAAGGGUACGUAGGCGGGUAAGCAAGUUAGAAGUGAAAUCCUAUAGCUCAACUAUAGUAAGCUUUUAAAACUGCUCAUCUUGAGGUAUGGAAGGGAAAGUGGAAUUCCUAGUGUAGCGGUGAAAUGCGCAGAUAUUAGGAGGAGUACCGGUGGCGAAGGCGACUUUCUGGCCAUAACCUGACGCUGAGAUACGAGAGCGUGGGUAGCAAACAGG